UACGUAGGGAGCAAGCGUUGUCCGGAAUCAUUGGGCGUAAAGCGCGCGUAGGCGGCCUCAUAAGUCCGUUGUGAAAGUCAAAGGCUCAACCUUUGAAAGCCGAUGGAUACUGUGAGGCUAGAGUCCGGAAGAGGCGAGUGGAAUUCCUGGUGUAGCGGUGGAAUGCGCAGAUAUCAGGAGGAACACCAAUUGCGAAGGCGGCUCACUGGCCCGGUACUGACGCUGAGGCGCGAAAGCGUGGGGAGCAAACAGG
RNAcentral lists this ribosomal RNA (253 nucleotides) under uncultured bacterium. Its description in RNAcentral is "partial 16S ribosomal RNA". It matches the Rfam family "Bacterial small subunit ribosomal RNA", at positions 524 to 776 of the family's 1533-position model. The record is from RNAcentral.